This 500-nucleotide ribosomal RNA is filed under the name uncultured bacterium. Its description in RNAcentral is "partial 16S ribosomal RNA". It matches the Rfam family "Bacterial small subunit ribosomal RNA", at positions 30 to 523 of the family's 1533-position model. The record is from RNAcentral.
AUUGAACGCUGGCGGCAGGCCUAACACAUGCAAGUCGAGCGGAUGAGAGGAGCUUGCUCCUCGAUUCAGCGGCGGACGGGUGAGUAAUGCCUAGGAAUCUGCCCAGUAGUGGGGGACAACGUUUCGAAAGGAACGCUAAUACCGCAUACGUCCUAGGGGAGAAAGUGGGGGAGUUGCGGACCUCACGCUAUUGGAGUAGCCUAGGUCGGAUUAGCUAGUUGGUAGGGUAAAGGCCUACCAAGGCGACGAUCCGUAACUGGUCUGAGAGGAUGAUCAGUCACACUGGAACUGAGACACGGUCCAGACUCCUACGGGAGGCAGCAGUGGGGAAUAUUGGACAAUGGGCGAAAGCCUGAUCCAGCCAUGCCGCGUGUGUGAAGAAGGCCCUCGGGUCGUAAAGCACUUUAAGUUGGGAGGAAGGGCUUACGGCGAAUACCGGUGAGUCUUGACGUUACCGACAGAAUAAGCACCGGCUAACUUCGUGCCAGCAGCCGCCGUAA